Molecule: ribosomal RNA, 395 nt
Filed under: uncultured bacterium
Lineage: Bacteria
Description: partial 16S ribosomal RNA
Rfam family: Bacterial small subunit ribosomal RNA
Source: RNAcentral
AUACGUAGGGUGCGAGCGUUAAUCGGAAUUACUGGGCGUAAAGCGUGCGCAGGCGGUUUUGUAAGGCAGUGGUGAAAUCCCCGGGCUCAACCUGGGAACUGCCAUUGUGACUGCAAGGCUGGAGUGCGGCAGAGGGGGAUGGAAUUCCGCGUGUAGCAGUGAAAAGCGUAGAUAUGCGGAGGAACACCGAUGGCGAAGGCAAUCCCCUGGGCCUGCACUGACGCUCAUGCACGAAAGCGUGGGGAGCAAACAGGAUUAGAUACCCUGGUAGUCCACGCCCUAAACGAUGUCAACUGGUUGUUGGGAAUUUAUUUUCUCAGUAACGAAGCUAACGCGUGAAGUUGACCGCCUGGGGAGUACGGCCGCAAGGUUAAAACUCAAAUGAAUUGACGGGG